UACGUAGGGUGCGAGCGUUGUCCGGAAUUAUUGGGCGUAAAGGGUAGGUAGGUGGUCUCAUUUGUCUGGGGUGAAAGCCUUGAGCUUAACUCAAGAAGUGCCCCAGAAACGGUGAGACUGGAGUCCUGGAGAGGGUCGUGGAAUUCCCGGUGUAGCGGUGAAAUGCGUAGAGAUCGGGAGGAACACCAGAGGCGAAAGCGGCGACCUGGACAGGCACUGACACUCAACUACGAAAGCGUGGGGAGCAAACAGG
Molecule: ribosomal RNA, 253 nt
Filed under: uncultured bacterium
Lineage: Bacteria
Description: partial 16S ribosomal RNA
Rfam family: Bacterial small subunit ribosomal RNA
Source: RNAcentral